UAUCAGAUGAGCCUAGGUCGGAUUAGCUAGUUGGUGGGGUAAUGGCUCACCAAGGCGACGAUCCGUAACUGGUCUGAGAGGAUGAUCAGUCACACUGGAACUGAGACACGGUCCAGACUCCUACGGGAGGCAGCAGUGGGGAAUAUUGGACAAUGGGCGAAAGCCUGAUCCAGCCAUGCCGCGUGUGUGAAGAAGGUCUUCGGAUUGUAAAGCACUUUAAGUUGGGAGGAAGGGCAGUAAGCUAAUACCUUGCUGUUUUGACGUUACCGACGGAAUAAGCACCGGCUAACUCUGUGCCAGCAGCCGCGGUAAUACAGAGGGUGCAAGCGUUAAUCGGAAUUACUGGGCGUAAAGCGCGCGUAGGUGGUUUGUUAAGUUGGAUGUGAAAGCCCCGGGCUCAACCUGGGAACUGCAUCCAAAACUGGCAAGCUAGAGUACGGUAGAGGGUGGUGGAAUUUCCUGUGUAGCGGUGAAAUGCGUAGAUAUAGGAAGGAACACCAGUGGCGAAGGCGACCAC
RNAcentral lists this ribosomal RNA (517 nucleotides) under uncultured Pseudomonadota bacterium. RNAcentral describes it as "bacterial SSU rRNA". It matches the Rfam family "Bacterial small subunit ribosomal RNA", at positions 219 to 728 of the family's 1533-position model. Lineage: Bacteria; Pseudomonadati; Pseudomonadota. The record is from RNAcentral.